GGCCCCAUCGACUAGCGGCCGAGGUCAUCACCCUCUCAAGGUGGAGACACGGGUUCGAAUCCCGUUGGGGCUGCCA
Molecule: transfer RNA, 76 nt
Filed under: Aminobacterium colombiense
Lineage: Bacteria; Thermotogati; Synergistota; Synergistia; Synergistales; Aminobacteriaceae
Also listed under: 1 other name
Description: tRNA-Glu
Rfam family: tRNA
About the family: Transfer RNA (tRNA) molecules are approximately 80 nucleotides in length.
Source: RNAcentral